RNAcentral lists this transfer-messenger RNA (347 nucleotides) under Desulfobacca acetoxidans. It matches the Rfam family "transfer-messenger RNA". From Rfam's summary of the family: Bacterial tmRNA, also known as 10Sa RNA or SsrA, is named for its dual tRNA and mRNA-like properties. Its role is to liberate the mRNA from a stalled ribosome. To accomplish this part of the tmRNA is used as a reading frame that ends in a translation stop signal. The record is from RNAcentral. RNAcentral also lists the same sequence under 1 other name. Lineage: Bacteria; Pseudomonadati; Thermodesulfobacteriota; Desulfobaccia; Desulfobaccales; Desulfobaccaceae.
GGGGGCGUAACGGCUUCGACGUAGAUGGAAACCUUUAAGUUGCAUGCCGAGGUCCUGUCCGCUCGUAAAACGGGUAGGGAAACCAUAAGUGCCGACAACUACGGCUACGCUCUAGCCGCCUAAGGCUAGCGUCCGGGGUGUGAAGCCAGGGGAAACCCCGGGCGUCCGGAUCCUGGCAAAACCGCCGAUAUAGCCUGCGCCUCGGCGGUCAAACAUCCCAGCGGGCUAGCCCCCGGAAAUUCCGCCGGUGGAAGUUCCGACGGGCGAAAGGAAUACGCCGGCUAAGCAUGUAGACGCUUAAAGGGACCUAUUUGCGGACGCGGGUUCGACUCCCGCCGCCUCCACCA